This 482-nucleotide ribosomal RNA is filed under the name Salmonella enterica subsp. enterica. Its description in RNAcentral is "partial 23S ribosomal RNA". It matches the Rfam family "Bacterial large subunit ribosomal RNA", at positions 165 to 688 of the family's 2925-position model. The record is from RNAcentral. Lineage: Bacteria; Pseudomonadati; Pseudomonadota; Gammaproteobacteria; Enterobacterales; Enterobacteriaceae.
CAUAGGUUAAUGAGGCGAACCGGGGGAACUGAAACAUCUAAGUACCCCGAGGAAAAGAAAUCAACCGAGAUUCCCCCAGUAGCGGCGAGCGAACGGGGAGGAGCCCAGAGCCUGAAUCAGCAUGUGUGUUAGUGGAAGCGUCUGGAAAGGCGCGCGAUACAGGGUGACAGCCCCGUACACAAAAGCGCAUGUGCUGUGAGCUCGAUGAGUAGGGCGGGACACGUGGUAUCCUGUCUGAAUAUGGGGGGACCAUCCUCCAAGGCUAAAUACUCCUGACUGACCGAUAGUGAACCAGUACCGUGAGGGAAAGGCGAAAAGAACCCCGGCGAGGGGAGUGAAAAAGAACCUGAAACCGUGUACGUACAAGCAGUGGGAGCACCCUUUGGGGUGUGACUGCGUACCUUUUGUAUAAUGGGUCAGCGACUUAUAUUCUGUAGCAAGGUUAACCGAAUAGGGGAGCCGGAGGGAAACCGAGUCUUAAC